CCUAUGGGGUGCAGCAGGCGCGAAAACUUUACAAUGCGGGAAACCGUGAUAAGGGAACUCCGAGUGCCCGUAAAAUCGGGCUGUCCACCAGUUUAAAUAACUGGUGAAGAAAGGGCCGGGCAAGACCGGUGCCAGCCGCCGCGGUAAUACCGGCGGCUCGAGUGGUGGCCACUAUUACUGGGCUUAAAGCGUUCGUAGCUGGUCUGUUAAGUCUCUGGGGAAAUCUACUGGCUUAACCAAUAGGCGUCUCAGGGAUACUGGCAGACUAGGGACCGGGAGAGGUGAGAGGUACUCCAGGGGUAGGAGUGAAAUCCUGUAAUCCUUGGGGGACCACCUGUGGCGAAGGCGUCUCACCAGAACGGCUCCGACAGUGAGGGACGAAAGCUGGGGGAGCAAACCGGAUUAGAUACCCCCGUAGUCC
Molecule: ribosomal RNA, 421 nt
Filed under: uncultured Methanoregula sp.
Lineage: Archaea; Methanobacteriati; Methanobacteriota; Methanomicrobia; Methanomicrobiales; Methanoregulaceae
Description: bacterial SSU rRNA
Rfam family: Archaeal small subunit ribosomal RNA
Source: RNAcentral